Molecule: non-coding RNA, 1932 nt
Organism: Sus scrofa (pig)
Lineage: Eukaryota; Metazoa; Chordata; Mammalia; Artiodactyla; Suidae
Source: RefSeq, a predicted model, not a curated record
GAGCGAGACCAGGGAUUGCUCAUCCUCGUGCAUACUAGUCUGCUUUGUUGCUGCUGAGCCACGGUGGGAACUCUUGGAGGCUGGAUUUUCAUGUCCCUGCACCAAGCAGUCAUUGAAUGCACGUUGACUCCGGGAAGAGCCCCCAAGUCCAUAUGCUGAAAUCCUGACCUACGAAGAUGAUGGUAUUAGGAGAUAACACCUUUGGAAAGUGCUAAAGGCAUGAUGGUGGAUCCUGCACCACACAUGGUGUUUUAUGAGAGGGUCCAUGAAGAUGCCUCGCCCUUUUUACUAUGUGAAGACACAGAGAGAAGGUACCGGCUGGGAACAAGAAGAGAGACCUCACCAGAGAAUGACCGUGCUGGCCAUAAAGACAUUUGCUUUUCUUUAAAAGUGUUUUGAAUUAUUUUAGAGGCUUAUAAAAUACCUUUAUUUCUUUCAAGAAAAACAGGAUAUACAAGUUAAUGUAUGAGUAUGUUCAUCUUUAUACCAACACAAUCAUAAACUGUGACUUAGAAAAGUUUACUGUGGAGAUAGAAGACCAGGAGGGCAGAAGUACCCCAGGCCCACCAAAGUCACACUGGCAUCCUGCUUCGCAGCACUCUAGUUAUAACUCCCUUUGAAGCUGCGAAAAUAAUCAUUGUCCUAAUUUUUAGUGUAAUCACUCAUUGCAUUUCUUUACAGUUUUAUCACUCAAGUAUGCAUCCUUAAACACUAGUUUCGUCUUUAAAAAACCUUUUGUGAAUUAAAUUUCUUUUCUUCUGGAGGGUAUAACUUCAUCCCUUCCUUUGCCUGAAAAUCAAUCUGUUGAAGAAUGUGAGUCCUCUGAUCUGUAGUUUUCCACUCUUUGGCUCUUGCUGAAUGCAUCUCAAGGGACAGUUUCGUUUUCCUCUGUCCUCUGUAUUUUUGCAAAUGGUCAGUGACUACGGAGGCUCGGUUUUACUUGAGUCUAACCCCUUUGGUGAUGUUCUGUUGGUGGCGUGGUCUUCCUUCACUGGGAGGCACAUCACACCAGACCGUCUUCCCUUUGGUCAUUUUAUUUUAUUUUAUUUUUUCAGCCAUGCCCAUGGCAUGCAGAAGUUCCCGGGCCAGGGAUUGAAUCUGUGCCACAGCCGUGGCCUGAGCCACAGUCGUGACAAUGCCAGAUCCCCAACUCACUGUGCCACCAGGGAACGCCCCCUUUGGUAAUUUUAGAAACCGCUGGUGCUCAGUUCUAUGUUAAUGUUUCUCUAGUUAACUUGGUUUUCUACAGCUCAUUAUCCAUGGAUACCCAGGAAGGACUCACGUGCAGAUUGAUCUCUGAGUUUUUGAUGUCAGUGAUUUUUUAUGCCCUGAUAGACUUGAAAAUCAGUUUUUUUGGAUAUAAGAUUCUUAAUUCACCUGUUUUUUUCCUCAGAUAUUGUGGUGAUGAAUUUAAGUGUCAGUUUAGCUGGGCCGUGGUGCCCAUGUAUAUUGUCCAAGAUUACUCUGGAUGAUUUGCAUUGGUGGAUUUGAGUAACGAAGAUUGCUCUCCAUAACGUGGGUAGACCUCGCCCAGUCCGUUGAAGGCUUGAAUAGAACAAAAGGCUGACAUUCUCCCAGUUUGGUAUUGGGAAAUGUUUCAAGCACUGAGUGUUCUGCUGAGUUGGUGUCCAGCGAAUUACUUGAGAUCACAUGAUUAAAUUGCCCAGGAGGAAAGCAAGUUCACUAAUUAAGCUUCUUAAAAAUGUACGAACUUUCUCUGUAACUUCAUGGCGAAUUGAUAUGUUUUCUGUGAAUUAUUUUGACUUUCUGAAGAAUUUGAUGCACAAAGUUCAUCCCUUAGCAGCUCAAAUUACAAAGAUGGGUCAAUGGCUUUUCCUUCCAAGAAAUUUAUGACGCUAUCAAACUCCUAGAGGAAAACAUAGGCCAAACACUCUCUGACAUAAAUGACAGCAACAUCUUCUCAGAUCCACC